This 505-nucleotide ribosomal RNA is filed under the name uncultured bacterium. Its description in RNAcentral is "partial 16S ribosomal RNA". It matches the Rfam family "Bacterial small subunit ribosomal RNA", at positions 28 to 507 of the family's 1533-position model. The record is from RNAcentral.
GACGAACGCUGGCGGCGUGCCUAAUACAUGCAAGUAGAACGCACAGUUUAUACCGUAGCUUGCUACACCAUAGACUGUGAGUUGCGAACGGGUGAGUAACGCGUAGGUAACCUGCCUGGUAGCGGGGGAUAACUAGUGGAAACGAUAGCUAAUACCGCAUGCUAUUAAUUAUUGCAUGAUAAUUAAUUGAAAGUUGCAAUUGCACCACUACCAGAUGGACCUUCGUUGUAUUAGCUAGUAGGUGAGGUAACGGCUGACCUAGGCGACGAUACAUAGCCGACCUGAGAUGGCGAUCGGCCACACUGGGACUGUGACACGGCCCAGAGUGCCUCGGGAGGCAGCAGUAGGGCAUCUGCGGCAAGCGACGAAAGUCUGACCGAGCAACGCCGCGUGAGGGAAGAAGGUUGUCGGAUCGUAAAGCUCUGUUGUAAGAGAAGAACGGGUGUGAGAGUGGAAAGUUCACACUGUGACGGUAUCUUACCAGAAAGGGACGGCUAACUACGUG